RNAcentral lists this RNase P RNA (384 nucleotides) under Elusimicrobia bacterium RIFOXYB2_FULL_62_6. RNAcentral describes it as "RNase P RNA component class A". It matches the Rfam family "Bacterial RNase P class A". From Rfam's summary of the family: Ribonuclease P (RNase P) is a ubiquitous endoribonuclease, found in archaea, bacteria and eukarya as well as chloroplasts and mitochondria. Its best characterised activity is the generation of mature 5'-ends of tRNAs by cleaving the 5'-leader elements of precursor-tRNAs. The record is from RNAcentral. Lineage: Bacteria; Pseudomonadati; Elusimicrobiota.
GAUCGCGGACGGAGGGUCGCCUCCGCGCGCAAGCGCGGGAGAGGAACUUCCGAACUCCACAGGGCAGGGCGCCGGUUCAAAGCCGUUAAGCGGCCAUAGGCCGGGGGUUUGGGGCCAGAUCCCCAGGCCACGGAAAGUGCCACAGAAAACACACAGCCUCAGGCCCGCAAGGGCCGGCAAAGGUGAAAAGGUGCGGUAAGAGCGCACCGCGUCCGCCGCAAGGCGGACGGCAGGGCAAACCCCGUCCGGAGCAAGGCCAAAUAUGCGCAAGGAUGCCCGUCCGCGCCCGAAAGGGCAACGCGCAGAGUGGGCCGCACAAGAUAAAUGAUCCUCCAGGCGCCGCAAGGCGCUGGACAGAAUUCGGGGUACAGUCCGCGAUCAAAA